CGUGGGUAACCUGCCUUAUAGUGGGGGAGUAGCCUUUCGAAAGAAGAUUAAUACGCAUAAGAUUGUAGUAUCGCAUGAUAUAGCAAUUAAAGAGCAAUUCGCUAUAAGAUGGACCCGCGUCGCAUUAGCUAGUUGGUGAGGUAAUGGCUCACCAAGGCGACGAUGCGUAGCCGACCUGAGAGGGUGAUCGGCCACAUUGGGACUGAGACACGGCCCAGACUCCUACGGGAGGCAGCAUG
RNAcentral lists this ribosomal RNA (239 nucleotides) under uncultured bacterium. RNAcentral's name for it is "partial 16S ribosomal RNA". It matches the Rfam family "Bacterial small subunit ribosomal RNA", at positions 116 to 353 of the family's 1533-position model. The record is from RNAcentral.